UGCUCUCCCCGUCACAGGACCGCUUGUCCCCUAAAUCUGCCUUUAUUGAUCCGUUUAUGAUCAGAAGUUCCUCAUCUGGCAGAUUCAGGAACAAAAAAGAUCAAUAAAAUCAAAGGUAGUCUGGUUCUUUAAACUCUUCACCUGCUCACGUGAUCCGUUAGGACAGCGCCGACAAACACAAUGUUUCAACAGAAACAAGGUGUUUACCCCGCUGAUGCUGCACGAGCUCACAGCUCUCAGUACGUGUUGAUCCUCAGGUGUUAGUCUCUCUGGAUUAAAGCGUCUGUCGGGUGACUAAAUGUAAAAUAAUCUGUGUCUCAGUCUGAAGUGAUUUCUGAACCUUCUGUUUGCAGUUCAAUAAUUUAGUUUCCCUAAAUCAUAAUUUGUUUUUCCCAUUUCUAAAAAGAAUGAAUGUGAAACAGGAACAUCUGAGCCGGGUCGCUCAGUGUAAACUGACCCGUGUGAAGGCUGCUGCAGGAUCUUAAUUAGUCCAGAGCCAAUAACAGCAGAACAGAUCUACCAGGGGGACGGCGUCCUGAGGCCCAGAAAGAGUUCCUGUUGUUGUUCAAGACACUAACUCAGUUUAAAGGCCGACAGAACUGAGGAGCAGCAGCGCCCCCUGCA
Micropterus salmoides (largemouth bass) is the source of this 624-nucleotide long non-coding RNA. RefSeq lists it as uncharacterized. NCBI's taxonomy places the organism in Eukaryota, Metazoa, Chordata, Actinopteri, Centrarchiformes, Centrarchidae. The transcript is spliced from 3 exons. The record is from RefSeq and is a predicted model, not a curated record.